RNAcentral lists this ribosomal RNA (406 nucleotides) under uncultured bacterium. Its description in RNAcentral is "partial 16S ribosomal RNA". It matches the Rfam family "Bacterial small subunit ribosomal RNA", at positions 30 to 526 of the family's 1533-position model. The record is from RNAcentral.
AUUGAACGCUGGCGGCAGGCCUAACACAUGCAAGUCGAACGAGUGGCGGACGGGUGAGUAAUGUCUGGGAAACUGCCUGAUGGAGGGGGCUAACUACUGGAAACGGUAGCUAAUACCGCAUACCAUCAGAUGGGCCCAGAUGGGAUUUGCUAGUUGGUGGGGUAACGGCUCACCAAGGCGACGAUCCCUUGCUGGUCUGAGAGGAUGAACAGCCACACUGGAACUGAGACACGGUCCAGACUACUACGUGAGGCAGCAGUGGGGAAUAUUGCACAAUGGGGGCAAGCCUGAUGCAGCCAUGCCGCGUGUAUGAAGAAUGCCUUCGGGUUGUAAAGUACUUGCAGCGGGGAGGCGUUACCCGCAGAAGAAGCACCGGCUAACUCCGUGCCAGCAGCCGCAGUAAUAC